Molecule: ribosomal RNA, 404 nt
Filed under: Fusobacteriota bacterium
Lineage: Bacteria; Fusobacteriati; Fusobacteriota
Description: Fusobacteria bacterium partial 16S ribosomal RNA
Rfam family: Bacterial small subunit ribosomal RNA
Source: RNAcentral
UGGGGAAUAUUGCACAAUGGAGGGAACUCUGAUGCAGCGACGCCGCGUGAGUGAUGAAGGAAUUCGUUUCGUAAAACUCUGUUCUAUGGGAAGAAAAGGACUGUACCAUAGGAGAAAGCUCCGGCUAAAUACGUGCCAGCAGCCGCGGUAAUACGUAUGGAGCGAGCGUUGUCCGGAAUUAUUGGGCGUAAAGGGUGCGCAGGCGGCUUUACAAGUUGGAUGUGAAAUAUUGUGGCUCAACCACAAACGUGCAUCCAAAACUGCAAAGCUUGAGUUGAGGAGAGGUAAGUGGAAUUCCUGGUGUAGCGGUAGAAUGCGUAGAUAUCAGGAGGAAUACCGGUGGCGAAGGCGACUUACUGGACUUAAACUGACGCUCAGGCACGAAAGCGUGGGGAGCAAACAGG